This is an RNA transcript of Notolabrus celidotus (New Zealand spotty), 7077 nucleotides long. RefSeq lists it as uncharacterized. Lineage: Eukaryota; Metazoa; Chordata; Actinopteri; Labriformes; Labridae. The transcript has 8 exons. The record is from RefSeq and is a predicted model, not a curated record.
UAUAUAUUGCGCAACAGAGGAAGGGCAGUGCUCCUCCUCCCUGCACGUUAGUUUGAGCAAGCAGGGCCAGCAUUCAUCCAGCGUUAGCUGAAAGUGCAGCAUUCCCGUGUAGCCUCGGAGAGAGAGAGAGAGAGAGAGAGAGAUGUUUUCCUGCAGAGCGGCCUGGCAGAGGUGUGGGCCUUUGGCACGGAGAGCAGCCAACAGACUGCCCCGGGAUGCUGUGCAGCGGCGGCAGAUGUCAUCGAUACCCGGUGGCUCUGGGGAGAACAUCGUGUAUGCCCUGCUGUGUGGAGGAGCCUUUGCAGGCGCUAUCUCAUAUGUAUACAGCACAGUGUCCUCAGACAGCGCCAGGUUCAAUGAGCGUGUAGCAGAAAUCAAAGCCAGACCCAAGACGGAGUGGGUCCCCAAACCAUGGCCCCCAAAGAGAGAUGAAGAAGAAGAAGAAGAAGAGGUGUAAUGCUAAAGCUAAGGUCCUCUGUGGCCGCUGGGAUAAUCGUCCUAGAACUGGACUCUUUGGAUCUGAACCCCCUCUCUCCUCCUUUCCUCCUCUCCUGUACUGCUAAGAAUGAAACAGAUUUCACCUUUGACCUCUGGACAGUGUGAGGGAUACUCACUCAGUCUGUGCUGCUGCUGCUGCUGCUGUCUUCUUUUGUGUGCUCGUGUUCCUCUGUGAUGAAGAUGAAUGGACUUCUGUCAUCACACACACCCUCACAGAUCUUUAUGAUGAUGAUGAUGGACUGUUAUUUUGAGCUCUGGGUGUGAGUGUUUCCUGUGGGACAGUUCCAGUCGGUCAACUUAACUUCUGAGCGUCUGUGUUGUGAGCGAUGACUCUGUUAUCCAAAGAGCUCCGUUAGUGGAUUUAGCCACAGUCAAAACUUCACUGCGUGUCUGUGUUUAAGAUCUGGACGAAGACUUCAUGCAGGUCUGCUGGGUCAGUUAGUCGUUGAGAAGCUGUCUUGGUUUGUUUGAGCGUGUGGUUGGUUUGACUGACAGCUGGGUGUGAUGGAGCUGCUUGUUAGGCAGAAAGUUUACGACCUCAGCUCCACCUCUCUGCAAGUUUAUAGCUGUGCUGGAAGUCAGGUGGAUCUAUCUGUGGGAGUUAUCCUCCUCAGAAGUCAGUGAGUGAAGUCUGUGUCCAUGUUUUAUACAGUCUGACUCUGCACCGUAGACCCAUCAGGAUCAUGUUCAGAGUUCACGAAUCAAAGGAGGAGUGGGCUCAGGUUAUCAGAGACUUUGUUUCCAUCAGAGAGAAUGCAGGUUUGAGACACUUCAGAAGAAAGGACUUUAAUCCACCUCUCAGAUGAAGUCCUCUGAUCCAGUAUCACAGCAGGGGAGCGUAGUGUGUCAGGAUUUAUCCUGUGGGCAGUAAAAUGAGUGGAUUACAGUCAGUCCCACAGUUAUUAAAACGUUCUCUACAAGCUAACAUGUCAGCUAACAUGUCAGCUAACAUGUCAGCUAACAUGUCAGCUAACAUGUCAGCUAACGUGUCAGCUAACGUGUCAGCUAACAUGUUGGCUGGGGGCCUUUAGUUAGUAAACAUCAUAAUUAGCACAAAGAUAAACAACUAGAUUACUCCUGGAUUAGCAUAUUACAUGACUGCCAGCCACUUGCUGUAAUCCUCAUCCCCAAUCCCUGAGCUCCGGGAUCUGCAGGUCCAUGUGUGAGCCUGAGUGUGAUGAGGAAGAAGGAUGUCUGUUUAGCUCCACACAUAGUUAUUAUAUUAGCAUGCUAAAGGCCAUGCUAGCAUUUAUCCUUCAACAGAUGGAAUAAAGAGAUAGGAUGAGGAGGGACCACUUAGGACUAUUGAAUCCUUUCAAAUUAAAAGCAUGUUUAAAACCAGAAUCUAGAUGUUAUACAAUAAAAAGGCAAAAUAAAAGCAUCACGAAUAACUCCUGUAUAAGACAUCCCUAAAGCGUGAACAUAAACAGGGUUACUUACACUUGUAAAUAAUAGAUAAAUCAUACGGUGAACCCAGCAUCCUGAAUCAUGAGUUGAUGGUAACCUCUGUUUAGCCUGGCUCUUUUACUCUGCAGGUUAUUGUUUGGUAUUUCUAAAUGAUGUAACUCACAGAGAGCCUUCAACUGGGAGGAAGAGCCAGAGUGCAAGCUCAAGUGUUUGCAUUCAGCUUAUUGUUAUCACAUGCCAUCAUAGACGCUCAGAGUCACAGUUGACCUUAAGGUCUGUCUCCCAUGGCUGUUUUGUGUGUGAGUGUGUGUAUGUGUGUUAAUGGAUAAAGUAGAACAAAUGGUGGAAAGUAUCUCUGUUAAAGAAUAAAGACGCACAACCUCCAUGGCUGUCUCAGUGUCUCUCAGACUCCCUCUCAGCUCCAGAUUACUGAUAGCUUGUAAAUGUGAUGGUAAGAACAAAGAUUCAACUUCACCCUCUCUACCCUGCACCCCCCCCUCUCCCUUCCUCCCCCUCCCUCAUGUCUUUGUUGUGCCCCUCCUUGACUUUGAGUUUGCAUGCAGCUUGUCUUGUAAACAUGUCGCCUCUGGGCCUCUCCGAUGAUUUAUUCACAGAGGCAGCGGUAAGGAUUGGAAGCAGCACUUCUGGACUGACCUGCUGUAGAAAUGAUGAGCUGUUAGUAGCUGUGUUUCCAUCCAACCAUCCCACUAAUUGAGUCGGAGUAUAAGGAUAGCAGAGACUUAUGUGAUGGGUAUACAAAUGUGACAUUCUGACCUAAACACAGGAAACAAGACCUCCAGCAACAUUACAUCUUUACCUUUUACACAGAAUUUAACAUCCCAUAAACUAAAGUGGAUCUGUAAUAUAUAUCAGUGAAAGGGCUGAACCAGUUUUAUGCUAGCUGUCUAGUUUGUAGUUUUUCAAGGAUGUAGUCAUUGGACUACAUUAUGUAUUUAAUGCAACCCUUAUUUUGAAGGAGUGUUGAGAAACACUCAUUUUUGAGGAAAGAGCUCAAGACGUUUUUAACUUGUAGGAUGAAACAGUCAAGAAACAAAGGUCAGCAGCAGCUCAGCUGGCAUGAAGAAGUGCAGACACACUUAUCUUUAAUGUUAACUAGCUUUAUUACUACUCUGUCUGCUGGCUCUCGGGAGGAGGGGAGAGUUGUGGAUGGAUUUGGCUCUCUUAGAAACCUCCUAUUGAACCUGGAGAAACUUUAAAAACUGGAGGAAUCCCCAGCAGCAGCUCAGCUGGCAGCCCCUCUGGACAUCAUCUGUCCAUCAAGGAGGGGAUUUAUUUCUUAAAAACAUCCUAAACUUUAAAAUGUGGUGUAAUCCUCACAAAAACUAGCUACCUUUUUAGAAUAAGCUAGCAGCAGCUCGGCUAGCCCCUCCUGACGUCCUGCGUCCAUCAAUAGGAGGAGAAACUGAUUUUUCAUGUUAAAGAGCUUUUGAAGCACUUUGUCUGUUGGCUCCCUGAAGGAGGAGACUGCUGUGGAAGGAUCUGAGUCAGAUAAAAACCUCCUAAACUCUAAGAACUGAAGGAGUCAUCACAAAAACGAUGAGCUACCUAAAGAAAAAGUAGGCUUGUAGCAGCUCUGUUAGCGGCCCCCUCCGAUGUCCUCGCCCGUAGAGGUGGCUGAGAGAGACACAGAUUUUUAACACAGUCGUGGUUUGUACUACACAACAGGCUGAGUACCUGUGUGUCCUCUCAGGUGAACUGAAACAUCGCUCUGUGUGCUGCACUUCAAACAUCUUGGAUGGAAACCCAGCUACUGAGAGGAUCUGACCCAGCUUUAAUCAUCUGCCUUUUAAACACUGUUAGUUUCAUUCCCCUGAUGUGUGUUCAUGCAUCAGAGCUUCACACUGAUCGUGUCUGUAGAAGACUCACAGUUUCUUCAUCUGUGAUCAGUGUGGUUUAACGCAGUGAGUGUAGAGAUUACUGGCUGCUUACUGUGACAUAAAUUAACAAAUGACAGAGACAUAACUGCUCCAGCUCACACUCGUCCUCUGCUUCUUGUGUUCCAGGUGGAGAGGAGGCUGGAGAAGAAGCUGCCGCUGAGGAGGCUGGUGGCGAGGAAGAGGCUGCUGGAGAGGAAGAGGCUGCUGGAGAGGAAGAAGUGGCUGCAGCUGCUGAUGGUGAAGGUGAGGUGGAGACCGUAGCAGAGGAGGUGGAGGAGCUGGUUGCUGAGGCUGCAGAGGUUGUUGCUGAGGUUGCAGAGGAGGUUGCGGAGGCUGCCCAGGAAGUGGAGGCAGUCGCAGAAGAAGUCGCUGAGGCAGCCAAAGCUGUGGAGGAGGCCGCCGAGGCCGUCGCAGAAGCAGCCCGCGAACCAGCCGCUGAACCAGCCGCCGUCGCAGAGGAGCCCGAAAGCAACGUAUCGCUGGCAGCUGCCUCUACUCUAGAGGUCCUGAAGAUAGCCGAAGCACUGGAAGAGUUGGCUCCAGCUGCUGAAGACGUCAAAGAGGAAGGGUCCUCUGCCCCAGUAGACAUUGCACCAGAGGCUGAAGAAGCCCCCGCACCAGUAGAGGUCACAUCAGAAGAAGCUCCUGCACCAGUAGAGGUUGCACCAGUGGUUGAAGAAGCUCCUGCACCAGGAGAGGUUGCACCAGUGGUUGAAGAAGCUCCUGCACCAGUAGAGGUUGCACCAGUGGUUGAAGAAGCUCCUGCACCGAUAGAGGUUGCACCAGUGGAAGUUGUGCCAGAAGAAGCUCCUGCACCAGUGGAGGUUGCACCAGUGGCUGAGGAGACUCCUGCCCCAGUGGAAGUUGCACCAGUGGCUGAAGAGGCUCCUGCACCAGUAGAGGUUGCACCAGUGGCAGAAGAAGCUCCUGCACCAGUAGAAGUUGCACCAGUGGCUGAGGAAGCUCCUGCACCAGUAGAGGUUGCACCAGUGGCUGAGGAAGCUCCUGCACCAGUAGAAGUUGCACCAGUGGCUGAGGAAGCUCCUGCACCAGUAGAAGUUGCACCAGUGGCUGAGGAAGCUCCUGCACCAGUAGAGGUUGCACCAGUGGUUGAAGAAGCUCCAGCCCCAGUAGAAGAGAGCCCUCUACCGGUUGGAGAAUCCGUUGCACUUGAGGCACCAGCUCCAGUAGAGCCUGAAGUCCCCUCCGCUCUAGCCGAGGAACCUGUUGACACCCCAAUUGCAGAGGAAGUUGCAGCUGCAGCCCCUGUUGCAGAAGCAGCUCCUGUUGCAGCAGCUGCCAUCGCUGUGGUGGAAGAGGCCGUUGCAGCCCCUGUGGAGGCUGAAGCUGCAGCCCCUAAGAGAGAGUACUUUGUUGUGGUUCUUGAAGGUGCUCCCAAAUCAGAAAAUCGGCCCAAGGUGCUGGGAGUGGGGCCCAUGACCGGUAGAAUCAUCGCAGCUCCAGAUGAAGAUGCCCAUUCUUCUGAGUAAACGGCUCCUGAAUGAAGACUGUCCUGCAGAAGAAGAGGAUGUGCCUUUCUCCCGCUCUGUCCCUCCUCCUCCUCCUCCUCCUCCUCCUCCUCCUCCUCCUCCUCCUCCUCCUCCUCCUCCUCCUCCUCUCACCUAUAGAAACACAGCAGGCUGACAUGUUUAGAUCAACCUCAUCCCAACACUUCAGAAGACACUCCGCUCUGACUCAGACUCUGUAGUUUUACACAUCCUUUUAUAACUUCAAUGUUUCACCUCCUGUUUACUGCUGAAGACAAAACUGAGCCACGUGUGCAGUCAUCUUUCUCUGUGAUUAAAGCUCAACGCCCGAUCGCUGCCCAGACACCUGUGAUAUGAACCUCCAGUGAAACUAACCACCAGCAAUCUUUCCAGAACUCAACCUCAGGUUUCUUCUUCUUCUUCGGCUGGAAACUCUCUCUCUCUCUCUGUUCUUGUGAUAUUUAUGCAGAAACACUUUCACUGGCUCGUUCUGUAGUUGUGUCUCUACCUCAGUUUGCCUCGUGUUCUUAGUCUACAAUGACCCGUCAGACCUCUCCUUGAUGCUUUUAAUGUUACAGAAGCCUCUUACUUCAAUAUGCACGACUUUUAGAUGAUCAGGAAAACAACUUCUCCAGCAAAACUCUCGUUACUUCCCCUUCAUCUGUGCGAUCCUUUUAAUGGAGAGUUGAGAGAAAUAAAGGGAACAUGCUCUGCACGGACUCCUGUUGUAAAAAUGACAGCACAGAAAGCUGCAAUAGAAAAGAAGGAAGUGUUCUGCAUUCUGCAUUUUCAGAAAAGUAGAGGUUAAAGGUCAUCAUGAUACUGCUGAAGUACCGGGCAUCAGAAAAUCAGGAAGGUUUUUUUAAGAUUUUUUCAUUUUGAAACUAAAGUUAAAAUGUCAACAUUUAAAUGUAGAGACUGAAGAUCAACUUUAGUUAAAAGAAACAUUCUGACUUUAUUUAUUGUCUUUGUUUCCAGAGAGAUCAUGCAGACACAAUGACUUGCCUUCCUUUGCCCUUCACUUAGACUCAAAGUUUAUGUGUAACAUCAACAACUUCUCAAAGUCUUGGCCCUUCUACUUUUCUGAAUGUGGGAGCCGUGCUCUGAGGUGUUUUCAUCCCAACAUACAGAGUUCAGUCCCCUUACAUCCUCCAGACCGUCAGAUGAGUUCACAGUGAACAUACGAACACUGGGAACAUCCUCCUGAUAUCCAGCCGCUCAGUGAUAACUCAGAGAUGUAAAGUUCUUCUGUGAGCUUUACUCUUCCUCCUCGUAGACUCAAAGAAGAUGAAAGUGUUUUUAAAAAGUUACAUUUCAGCGUCUCCCAUCAGAGGACACUUUUCUUUGACUCCUUCCUUCACUGGUAGCGUCUCAUGUUUUCGCUCUUGCAGUCACACCCGUGUGGAUGUUUUAUUUAAAGGCUUGCAGUAAGUUGGACUGCGGUGACGCUGAUGUGCCGGUGUGAAAGGAAAUGUGUGUCGUCCACCUCUCUCUCUUCCUCUGCUCCUCUCUCUCGUCUUCUCCACGUUGUGUUUCUGUCUUCGUUAGCUCCACAUCGCGGUGUGGAAACAGACCUGGGAUCAAAGAGGGAAUCUGAACACAAGUGUUAGAAUGUAUUUUAAAAAUGGGAAGCUGGUUUAGAAUUGACACUCUGUUUCUCCUCGCUGCUCGCAGGCAGGUUUCUGUAAUAGGACGUGAGUGAAUGCCUCUGACUCGGCACAAACUGUGACUGUGUCAAACAUUUCUGUGUCUCCUGUUUUAAAAAAUAAAAGAGGAAUUAAAUGUGA